Vicia faba (fava bean) is the source of this 225-nucleotide non-coding RNA. The record is from the annotation of a GenBank genome assembly. NCBI's taxonomy places the organism in Eukaryota, Viridiplantae, Streptophyta, Magnoliopsida, Fabales, Fabaceae.
AUGAAUGCAACAACUAUGGAUCCAUUUGCUAGGUUUCAGAGAAAUGUCGGUGUUUCUGCUUUUCCAAGCUUGCGUUCACUGCAAGAUAAUCUCCAGCUUCCUUUCUUUUUCUCCACUUCGGCUACGCAGCCUUUUCACGGUGGUGACGUUCUUGAAGGGUGGGGUAUGCCGCAAGACGAGCAAAGGGCGGUGAUUGACGGUGGUGGUCACAACAUGGAGGGUUAG